Sipha flava (yellow sugarcane aphid) is the source of this 2422-nucleotide long non-coding RNA. RefSeq lists it as uncharacterized. The transcript is spliced from 4 exons. The record is from RefSeq and is a predicted model, not a curated record. NCBI's taxonomy places the organism in Eukaryota, Metazoa, Arthropoda, Insecta, Hemiptera, Aphididae.
GACGACGUUAUCAGUUGUCUUAUCAAUGGUUCCCGUUGACGAUAGUUUUUUUUUUUUUUUUUGCUGUUCACCCGUUCGUUUCCCACGCUACUUCAACGUAUAUAUUAUCGCAUUGCAUACAAACGCGUUCAUCGUCUUCCGAACCCGAAGGACCGACCUGUAGCGUCCCACGUACUACAGCUAACAGCUUAUUAAAUUAUUAGGACUUGGAAUUUCAACAGCUAAAUUAAUUGUUGUGCUUGGAAUAAUUUUGAACAGUUCAAAUAAAUCACUUAACCACAACUAGUAUUAAUUGUUUACAACAUCCACCUACAUAUCCAAGCGUUAAACAGACUUAGUGAAUAACUGAGAUUCCAUCGAUCGGUUGGCACGCAACAGACCGAACAACGUUGCCGAACAAAGGUUGCUAUCGCGCAACGACCGUGUUGUCGGGAUGCUUCUACGCGAGAUCGUGAAUUCGGUUCUCAUCGGCGUAGGGGUUGAUUCGUUGAUUUAUUGUUGCCACCGCGAUGGUCACGAUUUUUAUCAACAGAAAUCGAUCAGCGCGUCAUCAUAUAUUGUCGAUAUUCGGACCCAUUGUGGUCUGUCAUACUACAUUAAGGAAUGUUAUUGAAAUUAAUUUGGAAUAGCAAAUUUAUACAGAAUUUAUUAGAAAAAUUACUUUUUCCAGACACAAACUAGUUUAAAAACUUACUAAACAAUAUAAUAUUUUUCUUAUUUCAUACUGUUCAAUGAAAGUGCAAUACAUUUGAAGAUUAUAAGCGGCACAAUUAUAUAAAAUACAGCAAUAGAAUACAAACAAAUGUUUAGUUCAAACAUCAAAAUUAUCAUAUUCAAUUUCAAAUUUUACUUUAUUACCAAAAAGAGAAUGGCUUUUAACAAAUGGAGUAAUGCUAAAUAGCCUAAAUUAAUUUCAAUGAGUAAAAUUAGUUGGAAAACUAAUUUUCAUAAAGAAAAACAGGAAAGUAAACAAUACCAUCACCAAAACCACAAUCAUGUUGUCGGAAUCACGAAACGGGUAUUAGCGGUAAAGAAGCCAGAGAUAUUGACACUUGUAAAGACAUACACUUAUGAAAUUAUUACUUUAGCCCUUACGAAUUUGUAAUUAAGGAUGUGUGUAAAGGAAAUCGAGUAUUAUUUUCAAUUGACUUUGGUAAUGUUACAGAAACACAUAAAUGUCAGUCCUUACGAGUACUGUUAUAUGGGAAACCACAUUUCACAUAAAGUAUUAAGAAUAUCAGAACAACUCUAUAUAAUUAAUAUAUAAAAGCACCAGUAGUACGAUUAAAAUAGAUGAAAGGUUGUAGGAUAAAACAAGUAUGCAAAUACAAGUUAUGAGAGGUUCACCACCUUAGGAAUAUUAUACUUAAAAAGACGAGAACAUAAAAAAGGUUUAGAUGGUCAAAGUAGUUCUUGAGAAAAGAGAAUGCCACAGGAUCACACACAUCCAUGGGGUAUAUAAGGUAGUCCUAAAUAGACCCACAUUUAUGCCAGUGUUACGGACAUAUAAGAUGUAGGUCCUUACGACUCUUACUACAUAGGAGGAACAAAAUAAAUCAUAAAUAAUAGAAAUCGGGAAAUGAUUAUUAAUUAUUAAUUAAAAUCAGAAAGUAACACAAACACAUGUUAUAUAUGAACUGUAUGGCUACAUUUUAAAGUGUAAUAUUAAAAAAGCAAUUAAAAAGAAGCACAACAAAAUAUGAGAGACGUGCGAAUAGUAAUAUUAGCGAGGUCACUAAAGUAAUAAAUCUUAUAUUUAUAAUUAUCAGGAACAACUUUUACAUAGUGAUUGAUUCUCACAAGACCUGAGUAUAUAAAGGGGUUACUAACAGACCAAUAUUCAGAUGUGUUUCAGUCCAAGCUUAGUAAGCACCUUCACACUAGAUAGAUUAAUGAUUUAUUGUAGGUACUUAGAAAUAAUUUAAGUUAAUAAAAUUUUUUGGACAGAAUAAUUUAUCAAUAAAUAAUAAAAUAUUUAAAGUCUAGUAAUUAUUUAAUCAACCUAUCCUCUCAUAUCUACUCUUCAUCGGUUGAACUGAUAAUACGCAUGGCAAUACAAUGGCAAUACGCAACUCCAGUCUAUUUGUCAAAUACUUAAUACUUUUUAUUUAGAAAUAUUUCAAUAAAUAACAGUUAAACUUAUAUUCAGUAUUUAUUUGGAAAUAUCCUAACACACAUUCUUCAUUUGAACUGUUGUAUUGACGGCAUGCAACAGCAAAUUCAAAAAACCAAGGGGAGAAACUUUUAAUUUACAUGAAUGUCAUUCCAUAAUCUGUUUAACAGCUCAUGAGGAUAUAACAUACACACAUGAUCCAGUCGCUGAUGUCAUAUACACAAGAUGUAUAUUUAAUUUUUUACUAACAAAAAUAAAAUUUAAGUCAAUCUUAUAUAUAUAUAUAUAUAUAUUGUAUUGAUAAGUCAA